UAAGGAAUAUUGCGCAAUGGGCGAAAGCCUGACGCAGCGACGCCGCGUGGGGGAUGAAGGUCUUCGGAUUGUAAACCCCUUUCGGGAGGGAAGAUGGAAUGGGGUAACCCAUUCGGACGGUACCUCCAGAAGCAGCCACGGCUAACUUCGUGCCAGCAGCCGCGGUAAUACGAAGGUGGCAAGCGUUAUUCGGAUUUACUGGGCGUACAGGGAGCGUAGGCGGUUCGGUAAGCCCUUUGUGAAAUCUCCAGGCUUAACCUGGAAAAGUCGGAGGGGACUGCCGGGCUAGAGGACGGGAGAGGAGCGCGGAAUUCCCGGUGUAGCGGUGAAAUGCGUAGAGAUCGGGAGGAAGGCCGGUGGCGAAGGCGGCGCUCUGGAACGUUUCUGACGCUGAGGCUCGAAAGCGUGGGGAGCAAACAGGAUUAGAUACCCUAGUAGUCCCUGAGCGGGCUGGCAAGGCGCAU
This 464-nucleotide ribosomal RNA is filed under the name uncultured bacterium. RNAcentral's name for it is "bacterial SSU rRNA". It matches the Rfam family "Bacterial small subunit ribosomal RNA", at positions 355 to 825 of the family's 1533-position model. The record is from RNAcentral.